RNAcentral lists this ribosomal RNA (454 nucleotides) under uncultured bacterium. RNAcentral's name for it is "bacterial SSU rRNA". It matches the Rfam family "Bacterial small subunit ribosomal RNA", at positions 29 to 526 of the family's 1533-position model. The record is from RNAcentral.
AACGAACGCUGGCGGCAGGCCUAACACAUGCAAGUCGAACGGGCGUAGCAAUACGUCAGUGGCAGACGGGUGAGUAACGCGUGGGAACGUACCCUUCGGUUCGGAAUAACCCGGGGAAACUCGGGCUAAUACCGGAUACGUCCGCAAGGAGAAAGAUUUAUCGCCGAAGGAUCGGCCCGCGUCGGAUUAGCUAGUUGGUGGGGUAAUGGCUCACCAAGGCGACGAUCCGUAGCUGGUCUGAGAGGAUGAUCAGCCACACUGGGACUGAGACACGGCCCAGACUCCUACGGGAGGCAGCAGUGGGGAAUAUUGGACAAUGGGCGAAAGCCUGAUCCAGCCAUGCCGCGUGAGUGAAGAAGGCCCUAGGGUUGUAAAGCUCUUUCAGCGGGGAAGAUAAUGACGGUACCCGCAGAAGAAGCCCCGGCUAACUUCGUGCCAGCCGCCGCAGUAACAC